RNAcentral lists this long non-coding RNA (236 nucleotides) under Elaeis guineensis (African oil palm). Its description in RNAcentral is "long non-coding RNA (EGUI_LNC033766)". Lineage: Eukaryota; Viridiplantae; Streptophyta; Magnoliopsida; Arecales; Arecaceae. The record is from RNAcentral.
CAUCAAAAAAUGAUAAAUAAAAGUACACAGUGAAGAUCAAACUGCCCCUAUGCCCCAUUCGAAGAAACCCUCCUAUGGAAAAUCAAAAUUUAGGUGCACCAACACCUCCUCCAUGCGGACGUUGCAGUUCUUGAAGCGAUGGGGAUGCUAAGGAGUUCGACUCGGAGUCUAGCCCACUGUGACUCGUCGACUGUCGAGCUAAGGUCGGAAGGCCCUUUCCCCACCUUGACCUCAGU